UACGUAGGGGGCGAGCGUUGUCCGGAUUUAUUGGGCGUAAAGAGCGUGUAGGCGGCUGGGUAGGUCCGUUGUGAAAACUCGAGGCUCAACCUCGAGACGCCGAUGGAAACCCUCCAGCUAGAGUCCGGAAGAGGAGAGUGGAAUUCCUGGUGUAGCGGUGAAAUGCGCAGAUAUCAGGAAGGACACCCGUGGCUAAGGCGGCUCUCUAGUACGGUACUGACGCUGAGACGCGAAAGCGUGGGGAGCGAACAGG
This 253-nucleotide ribosomal RNA is filed under the name uncultured bacterium. RNAcentral describes it as "partial 16S ribosomal RNA". It matches the Rfam family "Bacterial small subunit ribosomal RNA", at positions 524 to 776 of the family's 1533-position model. The record is from RNAcentral.